AUUGAACGCUGGCGGCAGGCCUAACACAUGCAAGUCGAGCGAGAGGCGGACGGGGGAGUAUUGUAUGGGGACUGCCCGAUAUCGGGGGAUAACUACUGGAAACGGUAGCUAAUACCGCAUACUCUCGGAUAACACAUAUGGGAUUCGCUAGUGGGUGAGGUAAUGGCGCCCCUGGGCGACGUUCCCUAGCUGGUCUGAGAGGCUGAUCAGCCACCCUGGAACUGAGACACGCCCCAGACUCUUACGGAGGAGGCAGUGGGGAAUAUUCGAAAAUGGGCGAAAGCCUGAGGAAGCCAUGCCGCUUGUAUGAAGAAGGCUCUAGGGUUGUAAAGUACGUUCAGUCGGGAGGCGUUACCGACAGAAGAAGCAACGGCUAACUCCGUGCCAGCAGCCGCGGUAAUAC
This 403-nucleotide ribosomal RNA is filed under the name uncultured bacterium. Its description in RNAcentral is "partial 16S ribosomal RNA". It matches the Rfam family "Bacterial small subunit ribosomal RNA", at positions 30 to 526 of the family's 1533-position model. The record is from RNAcentral.